UACAGAGGUCCCAAGCGUUGUUCGGAUUCACUGGGCGUAAAGGGUGCGUAGGCGGUGAGGUAAGUCGGAUGUGAAAUCUCCAAGCUCAACUUGGAAAUGGCAUUGGAAACUACCUCGCUAGAGGAUCGGAGGGGGGACUGGAAUACUUGGUGUAGCAGUGAAAUGCGUAGAUAUCAAGCGGAACACCAGUGGCGAAGGCGAGUCCCUGGACAACUCCUGACACUGAGGCACGAAAGCUAGGGGAGCAAACAGG
Molecule: ribosomal RNA, 253 nt
Filed under: uncultured bacterium
Lineage: Bacteria
Description: partial 16S ribosomal RNA
Rfam family: Bacterial small subunit ribosomal RNA
Source: RNAcentral